GUUUUUCUUUUUUUUUCUUUUUUUUUUUUUCCGAGAUAGGGUUUCUCUGUGUAGCUUUGGAGGCUGUCCUGGAACUAGCUCUUGUAGACCAGGGAGACAAGUUUUAGUGAAGAGGUUCAUGAUGGUCCCCGGCAAGGGCAGAAGGCAGAAGGACUCAACCUCCCCCAGGGACCCCAAGGCUCUUCGGAAGAGGAAGGACAGGCCAGACACCACAGAGGAUGGGGACUGACUCAGAGGCGGUUCCCAGAGGUCUCCUGAGCCAGCCCAGCCAGCUCCGCAUGGGGAGAACGAAGAACUAAUGAGACCCGGGCAAUGAGAGCCCUAGGACGGUCGACUGGGAGGAAGCAGGCACUUCCUCAGGCGUGUACCCCCACACACCUCUUGACCUGCAUCUGACCCCAGCUAGAUCUUGGUCCCCAAAGCUGACCUCACACAGCUGAGGAUGGCAGGAAAGAGCAGGGGUGACCAGAGACAGUGCCGUUAAGAGAUGUAAAGCUAAUGAGAUUAAUUAAUCCAGUGCUUCUGGUGUCUGGUGACUUUAGGACCAGCCUUGUCUCCCUGCCCCCACUUCAGGUUCCUGGCUCCUCCCAGUUUCUGCCACCCCUCCCUCCCCAAGUCUCCUGGCUUCCCUCCUGCCGUCCGGGCCCCAGAGCUUUCUCAACAGUCGCCGAGCCAAGUCCAGCUACGUGUAGGGGGAAGGUUCAGACCACACACAUUCCAGUCGGGAAGGGCCCUAUAGCCCAAUAGUCUAGAGCAGGGGUUCUCAACAGUUCAUGUUGUGGUCACCCCCCAACCAUGAAAUUACUUUUGUUUCUACUGCAUAACUGUAAUGUUGCUGCUGUUACGAAUCAUAAUGUAAAUAUCGGUAUUUUCCAGUGGCCCCCCAAAGGUUUGAGACCCACAAGUUAAGACCCACUGGUCUAGGCUUCCUUCCUCGAAGGGCUGCAAGACUGACUCAGGGACGGACGUGAGGGCCUGGUGGAGUCUACUCUAACCCCAGCCUUUGUGAGGCUGAGGAGGCAGAAGGUGUGAGUGCUCUGAGUUCAAGGCCAACUGGGG
This 1059-nucleotide long non-coding RNA is filed under the name Cricetulus griseus (Chinese hamster). Its description in RNAcentral is "lncRNA (ENSCGRG00015029149.1)". Lineage: Eukaryota; Metazoa; Chordata; Mammalia; Rodentia; Cricetidae. The record is from RNAcentral.